Molecule: ribosomal RNA, 437 nt
Filed under: uncultured Christensenella sp.
Lineage: Bacteria; Bacillati; Bacillota; Clostridia; Christensenellales; Christensenellaceae
Description: partial 16S ribosomal RNA
Rfam family: Bacterial small subunit ribosomal RNA
Source: RNAcentral
ACGGGAGGCAGCAGUGGGGAAUAUUGGGCAAUGGGCGAAAGCCUGACCCAGCAACGCCGCGUGAAGGAAGAAGGUCUUCGGAUUGUAAACUUCUGUCCUAUGGGAAGAAACAAAUGACGGUACCAUAGGAGGAAGCUCCGGCUAACUACGUGCCAGCAGCCGCGGUAAUACGUAGGGAGCGAGCGUUGUCCGGAAUUACUGGGCGUAAAGGGUGCGUAGGCGGUUUGUUAAGUCAGAUGUGAAAUAUCCGGGCUCAACCUGGAGGGUGCAUUUGAAACUGGCAGACUUGAGUGCAGGAGAGGUAAAUGGAAUUCCUAGUGUAGCGGUGAAAUGCGCAGAUAUUAGGAGGAACACCGGUGGCGAAGGCGAUUUACUGGACUGUAACUGACGCUGAGGCACGAAAGCGUGGGGAGCAAACAGGAUUAGAUACCCUGGUA